This 1346-nucleotide ribosomal RNA is filed under the name uncultured bacterium. RNAcentral describes it as "partial 16S ribosomal RNA". It matches the Rfam family "Bacterial small subunit ribosomal RNA", at positions 28 to 1381 of the family's 1533-position model. The record is from RNAcentral.
GACGAACGCUGGUUGCGUGCUUAACACAUGCAAGUCGAACGGAAAGGCCCUGCUUUUGUGGGGUGCUCGAGUGGCGAACGGGUGAGUAACACGUGAGUAACCUGCCCUUGACUUUGGGAUAACUUCAGGAAACUGGGGCUAAUACCGGAUAGGAGCUCCUGCUGCAUGGUGGGGGUUGGAAAGUUUCGGCGGUUGGGGAUGGACUCGCGGCUUAUCAGCUUGUUGGUGGGGUAGUGGCUUACCAAGGCUUUGACGGGUAGCCGGCCUGAGAGGGUGACCGGCCACAUUGGGACUGAGAUACGGCCCAGACUCCUACGGGAGGCAGCAGUGGGGAAUAUUGCACAAUGGGCGGAAGCCUGAUGCAGCAACGCCGCGUGCGGGAUGACGGCCUUCGGGUUGUAAACCGCUUUCGCCUGUGACGAAGCGUGAGUGACGGUAAUGGGUAAAGAAGCACCGGCUAACUACGUGCCAGCAGCCGCGGUGAUACGUAGGGUGCGAGCGUUGUCCGGAUUUAUUGGGCGUAAAGGGCUCGUAGGUGGUUGAUCGCGUCGGAAGUGUAAUCUUGGGGCUUAACCCUGAGCGUGCUUUCGAUACGGGUUGACUUGAGGAAGGUAGGGGAGAAUGGAAUUCCUGGUGGAGCGGUGGAAUGCGCAGAUAUCAGGAGGAACACCAGUGGCGAAGGCGGUUCUCUGGGCCUUUCCUGACGCUGAGGAGCGAAAGCGUGGGGAGCGAACAGGCUUAGAUACCCUGGUAGUCCACGCUGUAAACGGUGGGUACUAGGUGUGGGGUCCAUUCCACGGGUUCCGUGCCGUAGCUAACGCUUUAAGUACCCCGCCUGGGGAGUACGGCCGCAAGGCUAAAGCUCAAAGGAAUUGACGGGGCCCCGCACAAGCGGCGGAGCAUGCGGAUUAAUUCGAUGCAACGCGUAGAACCUUACCUGGGUUUGACAUGGAUCGGGAGUGCUCAGAGAUGGGUGUGCCUCUUUUGGGGUCGGUUCACAGGUGGUGCAUGCCUGUCGUCAGCUCGUGUCGUGAGAUGUUGGGUUAAGUCCCGCAACGAGCGCAACCCUUGUUCACUGUUGCCAGCACGUUAUGGUGGGGACUCAGUGGAGACCGCCGGGGUCAACUCGGAGGAAGGUGGGGAUGACGUCAAGUCAUCAUGCCCCUUAUGUCCAGGGCUUCACGCAUGCUACAAUGGCUGGUACAGAGAGUGGCGAGCCUGUGAGGGUGAGCGAAUCUCGGAAAGCCGGUCUCAGUUCGGAUUGGGGUCUGCAACUCGACCUCAUGAAGUCGGAGUCGCUAGUAAUCGCAGAUCAGCAACGCUGCGGUGAAUACGUUCCCGGGGCU